CAUUCGAUACUGGUGAGCUAGAGUAUGGGAGAGGAUGGUAGAAUUCCAGGUGUAGCGGUGAAAUGCGUAGAGAUCUGGAGGAAUACCGAUGGCGAAGGCAGCCAUCUGGCCUAAUACUGACGCUGAGGUACGAAAGCAUGGGGAGCAAACAGGAUUAGAUACCCUGGUAGUCCAUGCCGUAAACGAUGUCUACUAGCCGUUGGGGCCUUUGAGGCUUUAGUGGCGCAGCUAACGCGAUAAGUAGACCGCCUGGGGAGUACGGUCGCAAGACUAAAACUCAAAUGAAUUGACGGGGGCCCGCACAAGCGGUGGAGCAUGUGGUUUAAUUCGAUGCAACGCGAAGAACCUUACCUGGCCUUGACAUACUAGAAACUUUCCAGAGAUGGAUUGGUGCCUUCGGGAAUCUAGAUACAGGUGCUGCAUGGCUGUCGUCAGCUCGUGUCGUGAGAUGUUGGGUUAAGUCCCGCAACGAGCGCAACCCUUUUCCUUACUUGCCAGCAUUUCGGAUGGGAACUUUAAGGAUACUGCCAGUGACAAACUGGAGGAAGGCGGGGACGACGUCAAGUCAUCAUGGCCCUUACGGCCAGGGCUACACACGUGCUACAAUGGUCGGUACAAAGGGUUGCUACACAGCGAUGUGAUGCUAAUCUCAAAAAGCCGAUCGUAGUCCGGAUUGGAGUCUGCAACUCGACUCCAUGAAGCCGGAAUCGCUAGUAAUCGCGGAUCAGAAUGCCGCGGUGAAUACGUUCCCGGGCCUUGUACACACCGCCCGUCACACCAUGGGAGUUUGUUGCACCAGAAGUAGCUAGCCUAACUGCAAAGAGGGCGGUUACCACGGUGUGGCCGAUGACUGGGGUG
This 858-nucleotide ribosomal RNA is filed under the name Acinetobacter baumannii OIFC143. RNAcentral's name for it is "bacterial SSU rRNA". It matches the Rfam family "Bacterial small subunit ribosomal RNA", at positions 624 to 1482 of the family's 1533-position model. Lineage: Bacteria; Pseudomonadati; Pseudomonadota; Gammaproteobacteria; Moraxellales; Moraxellaceae. The record is from RNAcentral.